RNAcentral lists this long non-coding RNA (324 nucleotides) under Pan troglodytes (chimpanzee). Its description in RNAcentral is "long non-coding RNA NONPTRT009141". Lineage: Eukaryota; Metazoa; Chordata; Mammalia; Primates; Hominidae. The record is from RNAcentral.
GGUUGGUGAACACAUGGAGGUGCGGGGAGGGUGGCGAGCCCAGCGAGGACGUGGAUUCCCCACGGCCCUUCCCACAUACCUCGUUCUUUCAUUUGGCUGUUUCUCAGUUGUGUGCUUUAUAAUCAACUGACAAUGCAAGGGGAAGAGGUUUCUGCAGGGCUGCCGGCUGUUAGAGAUGCAGAGAAAUCACGAUGCAAUGUCAGCCUGCAGCGAUCCCAGUUCCAGCUCUUGAAGACGACAUAAUCCUUCAUGCCUUAGUCUUCACAUAUGUUGAACCCUCUGACCAGAUAUCUGUUCCUUAUUUCUCUGCCUGUUCAACAGUCG